Long non-coding RNA from Olea europaea var. sylvestris, 439 nucleotides. RefSeq lists it as uncharacterized. NCBI's taxonomy places the organism in Eukaryota, Viridiplantae, Streptophyta, Magnoliopsida, Lamiales, Oleaceae. The record is from RefSeq and is a predicted model, not a curated record. The transcript is spliced from 3 exons.
AGCAUUAUUGUGAUACUCUCUCUUUCAGCACUUGCUGCCGCCUCGUCGCCUCUUGGAGUCAUCGCCGGGGCAUUAGCUGGUCACGGAGCUGCAACAACGCUCGCUGUUCUAGGAGGUUCUUUUCUGGGAACAUACUUAUCGGAGAAGGUUAUUGCUUACAUUGGUGGCACUCUCUUUCUCGUCUUUGCUGCAGUUACAUUGAUCGAGAUAGUUACUUAGAAACAACAAUUUUUUCCCGCCUUCAGCGAGAACCACAUUGGAUGAAUUCGCCUCUAUAAAUAGGUUAAGAGAACUACAAUUGACGACUUGUGUCAUUAUAGAGUGAUUAGAGUCGAGUAGGUUGAUGCCUUCAGAAUUUUUUGUAUGUAUUAGAGAACUAUUGUUUACCAUAUUUGCGCUGCACGUUAUGUGUUACUAUGUUACGAUCACGUUAGUAUUG